GUAAUUUUCCGCAACUGACGGAAUUAAGGUGGUUACCACCGGGGAGCGGAAGAUAGAUAAAGGGGAUUAGCCGACCGUCUGGGCAGAAAGA
Molecule: non-coding RNA, 91 nt
Filed under: Deltaproteobacteria bacterium
Lineage: Bacteria; Pseudomonadati; Myxococcota; Myxococcia
Description: ZTP sequence
Rfam family: ZMP/ZTP riboswitch aptamer (pfl RNA motif)
About the family: Previously known as pfl RNA. ZMP is also known as AICAR.
Source: RNAcentral